AACUGUCUGUUAUGGAUGGCACUGCAUUUAUUUCAAUAUUUCUUUGGAAUAAAGAGACUAUACAACUACUUGGUAAAACUGCAAAAGAGUUGAAAGAAGGAUUACUUGAAGAUGAAGAAAGUUCUUAUCCAACAGAACUUGGUGAUUUAAUGGAGAAGAAAUUUAUGUUUAAGAUUUUGAUCAAGGACUCAAACAUUAACAAAAAAGAUAAUGUCUAUAAAGUUGUUAAUUUCACCGAUGAUGAUACUCUUUUAAAGGAAUUUUGUCAUCCUGACCUUCAGGACAAUCUUAAUGUAAGUGUUUAAACACCAACAUAUUUGUUUACAUUAUACAUACAAAUUUUUUAGUAACGUAUAAAUUGUUAAUUAUGUUUAUAAUGUUCAAACAGAAAUCACUUUUUGAAUAUGAGCAAAGCUAUGAUGAAGAUAAACUCUUUGAGGUAUUCUAACUUUAGAUAAGUUACAUCUUCUAUAUUACUAAUCAGAUUGAAAACACUUGAAGUACUUAUAAUCUUUAUGUUAUUUUAAUUUAGACUCCAAUCAAGAGCAGCAUUUCAGAAUGUGGUACAUUAAUUACUGAAGAUGUGAUUGAUUUAACUACAAAGAUAUCUACCAAGAGUAGUAAAACUGCUGCAAGAGUAGCAAAGCUGCUAGAAAAUCUACAAGGCAUGAAAUUAAAGACGAUUUGAAUGUCAAACAACCCAGCAACAAAAUUCGCAAAGUGAUUAAGAAGGAAAAGAACACCUAAAGCUAUCUUCCAAAUUUGAAAAGUUAUUGGAAGAUUAUGUUUUAAUUUAGGUUGUAUUAAGUUUAGUUUAUUAUUUUAAUAUUUAUGUUUUAAUAAGGUAGUUGGAUGAUCUAUGUAGUUUAUUAUAUAAAUUCAAGCUAUUAAGUUCGUCUUCUUUAUUUAUAUCUCUCUCUCUCAAUCUAUAUCUAUCUAUCAUUCUCUCUCUCUCUCACUCUAUAUAUAUAUAUAUGUGUGUUUGUGGGGUUGUUUUUAAUUUAUGUUGUUAAUCCUCUACAUGUUGUCUUAAUGUGUAUUUUAUAUUCUCAGACUUAUAGUUUAACAUUCAUUAGUAACAGAAGGAUCAUUAAAGUUAACUUUACUGCAUACAAAAUCUAAACAACACACUAUUAGCUGAUUUUUACAAAUACGUUAGUGCAAUUUAAGAGACAUACCUUAUUCCCAUAUGUUAAAAAACAUGCAACACUUUGGUGAACAAUAUGGUGGAUCCACAUCAAUUUCUGAGCUGAUAUAUUCAGAAUAGGAAUCAGAUAUUCUAAAGCUCCAAGCAAUUCAUCUUCAUUCUUCCAAUAUAUAGUAGUUCAAAGGUAGUCAUAAUGAACAAUGAUUUAUAAUAAUUCUAUCAAAUUUGUUGAAGGAGUACCUUGCUUUAUAUAACAUGUUGAAUCUUCAUUCAAAAAAUAUAUACAAUGCUACAGCCCCAAAGUUUCACCAAAACAGCAACAGAAAAGAUCCAAAGCUGCACUAAAUUUUCACAAUAAAAAUAUUAAAACAUCAUUUGAAUUAAACCAAAACAGCAGCAUCAGAAUCAUCUCUAAAACAACGUUAGAAUUGCACCCAAAAAACCACCGGAAAAACAUUGGAACUGCACCAAAAAAUGCACGAUAAAAACAACGUCAACAAACCCCAAAAUUGCACCAAAACAUUCGCACCAAAUUCACACUAAACAGCACACUGACAAUUGUAUCAAUGUGCGCAAACUUCGUGAACUAAUUUCAAAAAUAGAUAAAUCAUAUAUAAUAAAUCUUCAAUAACACAUAUGCUAUAAAAAUAGAGUAUUUUACAUAGCAAAAUAUAACAUUCUGUAAAAUAUUAUCUUAAAUAUAUUUUUGCCUUGAUUAUAUUAUUUAGAGGGAGGGUCAAGAACUUAAAAGGAAGCAAACUACAAUUAUCAAACAUGUUCACAUAGUUAUAAUAAGUUUUGUCUCAAGUGUUGGUGUCAGUAACUUAUUUCAUAUAUAAUUAUCAGAUAAACUAACUCAUCAAAUACUCAAACAUGUUCAUAGACAUUCCUAUCAAAUCCUCUGCAUGAUCUUUAUAUAUUUUAUGCAAUAUCUACUGCAUUUGGUGCACUUUUUAUAACACGUCAUGCAAUAGAUGUUACUUAACAGUAACUCAUAUAUACAAUUAUAAGAAGGAACCUAGCAUUAUAUAGAUGAAAAUUCCAAAGCACAAAUAAAUUGUAAUGAGGAAUUUGAUCCAAAGCAAUGACAAAUAUUGCUCUCAUAUCCUCUGUGUAUAUUUUGUUACCCUUCAUCUGAUCAAUGUAUAUUUUGUUACCCUUCACAUAAUGCCUAUAGUUUGGGACAGCUCCUUAAAAACAAAUGCAUAUUCAGAUCUAACAUAAAUAAAAGCAAUGUCAAAGAAAUUAUUGAUUCACAUAUUUUUUUCUAGGAUCACAUAUGUUACAACAGUCAACUACUUCUAUCUCUUAUGAAUGAUAUGGUAAAUACAUAUCAAAAACAUUGAGGGAGAGAGAGAUUAAACAAAUAUAUUAAUCUUCUUAGUAAUUGUUACAAGUGAAGAAUAUAUUUUCCCAAGUUCUUAUAAAGUUAAACCUGUUAAAAAGUUUCAGCAUAACUAUAAAUCGAUUUAUUUCUCUUUGAGGUCCUUAAUCUAUUCAAAAUCACAAACAAUAAAAAAACAGUUAUAAUUUUAAACUGCUAUACUCCGAAAUAUUUACUGUCUAAUAACUCACAAUAUUAGAAUGAUAAUAUAAUUAAUAUUUUUUUAAAUUAACAGUUAUUUAACUAAAUGCACUAAUCUGGAUUUUAAAAUAACUGCUAUUUGGUCAACUGCAUUUAUCAUGGUAAUUCACCAUAAUAUUAGAUUUCAAGUUCAAUAACUCAUAACAAAGUCAUGACAGAUCAGAAGAAAUUAGCAAGAAAACAAAGAUUUAGCUUACGACAGAAUUAAAAACGUGGAAAAUACUCAUCAGAUGUCAAUAAUUUGAUCUCCUCUAUUUUUAUUGCUCAAUAUAGUACAUGUCUUCUACUAUACAACAGUGAAAUAUAUUACACUACCUAUAUAUUCUUCAUUUUUAAAACUUUUAUCUUCUUCAAAUUUCAUAAAACUUAUUUCAUCUAUUAAAUACCUUUUUGUGCAUUUUAUCUAAAAUUUCUUCUUUUUAAUUUGUUUAAUUAACUUUAUUUUAUUAUAUUUUUGGUAGAUUUGCAAAGCACUUCAUCUACAGCUUUUCCUGUGUCAAAGGGGAAAGAAAUUUUAGUGGAUGAACAUAUUUAUUCGUAUCCCAUCAGUAUGCCACAAAGUUUUUCUAGAGGUUUGUAUUACAGGAAAAAUAUAUUAUUUCAUGAAUUUAUACAUAUUAAAUAUUACUAUUCUUAUACAUAAAACAAGAUAAUGUCAAAUUUUUAUUGUUAAUUUGCAAAUUAGUUCAUCUACAUUCAAGAAAGUCUAAGGGUAAGUAUAUAUUUAUGGAUUAUAAUGUAUACUCACCUAUGUUAACAACGGAAAAUGGCAUUUUUCAAAGGUAUAUCACUAAAAGAACAUAACAAUAUUCAAUAAGCAUCUGCAAUAUAUUCAAAUUCUAUAUUAUUUGUAACAGAUAACAGAAUAUCAAAUCAUCUAACUCAUGAUGAAAAUGAAGAUGUAGAUAUGUUGACAGCAGAUGAGUUUGGUAGUAGAAAACUAUACAAUGAAGGUAAUUUUUAUAUAUUACUAUCCCUAACCUUUGCUUUGUUUAAACAAAUUACUUUGUUUCUAACGUAUUAUUUUUUUUUAAAAAUAAAAUUAUUAGACUAUUGGGAUAUAGGAGAUCCAAUUUAUGAAUGUCAAUAUUGCGGCACUUACUUUUGGUAUGCGGAAAGAAUUGAUAAGAAGUGUAAAAAAAAAGACAUGUUUUCACUUUGUGUUGUGGUCAUGAAAAGCUUCCCAAUCCUAAGGAUCCUCCUACUAUGUUGAAGGAAUUAUUAUUUGGAUCAGGUAAAUUAAUUUAUUUAAUACAAAUAUAAAUACACGUCAAUAAUUUUGUUUAUCAACUUUACAUUUCUAUAAUUUAUUGUAGGUGAAAAAAGUAACCAUUUCAGAGAGAAUAUCCGAACUUAUAAUUCCAUGUUUUCUUUUACAUCAAUGGGAGGAAAAAUUGAUGCAUCUGUCAAUCAAACAAAAGGGCCAAGAACUUUCAGAUUAUCUGGACAGAAUUAUCAUAAAAUUGGAAGCUUAUUGCCUAAUGAGGGAUCUACUCCAAAAUUUUGCACAAUUAUAUAUUUAUGAUACAGAAAAUGAGGUAACAAAUAGAAUGAAUGUUAUCAGGUGUGUACUUAUUUUAUUUAUGCUUUAUGUAAGAUUAAUUAUAACUGUAGUAAUUAAACACUAUUAUCAACAUAUUACUAUUCACUUUGUAGUAGCGGUGAAAGCAACAAUCAAAUCCAUGCUCAAAUUGUCACCGAACUGAAGGAAAUGCUUGAUAAACAUAAUGUUCUUGCAAAGAGUUUUCGUAUGGUUAGAGAUAGAUUUCAAGCUGAACAAAGUACAAAUGUUAAACUAAGACUUAUCGGAAGAAGAGGAUCAGAUGGAAGAGGAUAUAACUUGCCAUCAGUUUCAGAGGUAGCAGCUUUGGUUGUUGGCGAUUUUGAACCAACAAAUACUGACAGAGAUAUAAUAAUCGAAAGUCAAAAUGGACAACUUCAGAGAAUAAAUGAGCUUAAUGCAGCAUAUUUAGGUUUGCAAUAUCCAUUACUACUACCUUAUGGGGAAGAUGGUUAUAGAGAAGAUAUUCCUUUAAAUAGAAUUGAUGAAUCAAGUAAGGGAAGAAAACGUGUUAGUUCUUGCGAAUAUUUUGCAUAUAAAAUUCAAGAAAGGAAGAAUGAAGUACCUACAAUUGUUUCAGCUAAAAGAUUAUUUCAACAAUUCUUGGUUGAUGGAUAUACAAUGAUUGAAUCUUCUCGCUUAUUGUUUUAUAGACUAAAUCAAAGAAAUUUGAGAACACAUUUAUAUAAAGGAUUACAAGAAGCAGUUUUGCAUGGAGACACAGAACCAUCUUCUCAAGGACAAAGAAUUAUAUUGUCUUCUACUUUCACUGGUGGAACACGUUAAAUGUUGCAAAAUUAUCAAGAUGCAAUGGCAAUAUGUAAAUGGGCUGGAUAUCCUGAUUUAUUCAUUACAUUUACAUGCAAUCCCAAAUGGCCUGAAAUUAAGAGAUUUGUGCAUAGUAGGGGAUUGCAUCCAGAAGAUCGCCCAGACAUUAUAACAAGAGUCUUUAAAAUCAAAUUGGAUCAUUUGAUAAAAGAUUUAAGAGACAAUAAAGUUUUUGGAGAAGUAAAAGCGGGUAUGAACUUUAUUUUGCUUUAUUUUAUUAUAUUACAUUUUCAAGUUAAUAUAAUUUGUUUUAUUUAAAUAAAAUCAUAAAUUACAAAUAAUAUUUUGUUUUCUCUUCAUAUAGUGAUUUACACUAUUGAAUUUCAAAAGCGUGGAUUGCCUCAUGCACAUAUCUUACUUUUUCUCCAUGAUAAAUUUCCAAAUGUUGGAGACAUUGAUGCGAUUAUUUCAGCUGAAUUGCCUGAUAAAUUACUUGAUCCGGAUUAUUAUGUGGUUGUUACAAACUUCAUGAUGCAUGGGCCAUGUGGUUCAAUAAGGAAAUCAUCCCCUUGCAUGCAAAAAGGCAAAUGUACAAAGCACUUUCCAAAAAGAUUUUUACCAUCUACCUCACUUGAUGAAGAAGGAUAUCCUUUAUAUCGAAGAAGAGAUGAUGGUAGAUCUACACAGAGAUCAGGUAUUGAUUUAGAUAAUCGAUAUGUUGUACCACAUAAUAAUUUUUUGCUAAUGAAAUAUGGGGCACAUAUUAAUGUUGAAUGGUGCAAUCAAUCAAGAUCGAUUAAAUACUUAUUUAAGUAUGUUAAUAAAGGUCAUGAUCGAGUCACAGUAGCUUUUUGCGAUAGUGUUAAUUCUUCAGAUUCAAAGGUUGUUGAUGAAAUAAAAAUGUAUUGUGAUUGUCGCUAUAUAUCAUCCUGUGAAGCAGCUUGGAGAAUUUUCAAAUUCCCAAUCAACCAUAGAGAACCUUUUGUAGAAAGGUUAUCUUUUCAUCUACCAGACAAUCAAAAUGUCAUAUUUUCAGAUGAUGAUCCAAUUGAUGUUGUUAUCAAUAAACCAACAGUGAAGGAAUCAAUGUUUUUAAGAUGGUUGGAAGCUAAUAAGGAAUUUCCUGAAGCAAGACAUCUAACGUAUGCAGAAUUUCCUUUAAAGUUUGUUUGGAAGCAACAAUCUAAGAGAUGGGAAAAAAGGAAAACUUCAGCAUUUUCUAUUGGAAGAAUUUUCUUUGUUCCACCAGGAUCAGGUGAGCAAUAUUACCUUAGAUUGCUAUUGAAUGUUGUUAAAGGUCCAACUUCUUAUGAGGAAAUCAGAAGAAUAAAUGAUAUUUAUCAUGAGACCUUUAGAGAUGCAUGUUAUGCUCUAGGAUUAUUAGAUGAUGACAAAGAAUAUGUUGAUGCUAUAGUAGAAGCAAGUCAAUGGGGAAUGCCAUCAUAUCUACGACAAUUAUUUGCUAUGCUACUUAUAUCUAAUUCAAUGUCACGUCCGGAGAUAGUGUGGCAAUCAACUUGGCACUUACUAUCAGAAGAUAUCGUUUUUGAAGAAAGAAGAAUAUUAGAUAACCCAGGUAUUUAAUAAUGUUUACACUUGACACUAAUCAUAUAUAAUCUUUUUUUUUUCUUUUUCUUAUUAUUUAUUAUUAUUUUACUUUUAAAAUUUUUUAAUAAUUAGUAAAUUAGAAUUAGAUUAUUUUAUUAAAUUAGUAUAUGUUUAUAUGUUUUUUCAGAAGUUUAUCUAUCUGAAGCAGAUUUGAAGAAUCGUUGCUUGCAAAAGAUUGAAACCUUUUUAAAAGGUUGUGGAAGGAGUUUUCAAGAUUUUUCAACAAUGCCAUUACCUGUCUAUAAUGAGGAUGAGGUCGAUUAUAGCAACAGAUUAAUUCGAGAUGAAAUGCGUUACAAUAAAGGUGCUUUAACUGAUGAACAUCAAGAAUUGCUACAAAAUUUAACUGAUGAACAUAAAGCAGUUUACAAAAAGAUUAUGUCAGCAGUUAUUACAAAUAGUGGUGGAUUUUUCUUUUUAUACGGCUUUGGAGGUACAGGAAAAACUUUUAUUUGGAGGACAUUAUCAGCAGCUAUACGAUCUAAAGGAGAUAUUGUUUUGACAGUAGCUUCUAGCGGGAUUGCAUCUCUAUUGUUGCCUGGUGGUAGAACAUCACAUUCAAGAUUUGUUAUCCCUUUGAAUAUAAAUGAAGAUUCAACAUGUAAUAUAAAGCAAGGUACUCCUUUAGCAAAUUUGAUAGUCAAGGCAAAGUUGAUUAUUUGGGAUGAGGCUCCUAUGAUGCAUAAAUAUUGUUUUGAAGCUUUGGAUAAAACUUUAAGAGAUAUUAUUAGCUAUAAAGAUGCAUCUAAGGCAGAAUUACCAUUUGGAGGAAAAACAGUUGUUCUUGGAGGUGACUUUAGACAAAUUUUACCCGUUAUUCCAAAAGGUACUAGACAAGAUAUUGUUAAUGCAAUUGUAAAUUCAUCAUAUUUAUGGCCACAAUGUCAACUAUUGACUCUAACAAAGAAUGUGAGGUUACAAAGCAAUGCAAACGAUACACAUUUGGAAGAAUUGAGAGAUUUUUCUAAUUGGAUAUUGAAAGUUGGGGAUGGUAGCAUUGGAAGUUCAAUUGAUGGAAUAGACAAAGUUUUAAUACCUAAUGAUCUUCUAAUAAAUGAGUAUAUUGAUCCUAUAGCAUCUAUUGUUGAAAGUAUUUAUCCAGAUUUCAUCACUAAUUGCAAUGAUCCAGAGUACCUUCAACAAAGAGCCAUUCUUGCUCCAACUCUUGAUAUGGUUGAAUCGAUAAAUCAGUAUAUGAUUACUCUUAAUCAUAAUCCUGAGAAAUCAUAUUUAAGUUCUGAUAAAAUUUGCAGGUCUGAUCAUACUUAUUCAGCUUUGGAACAUGUACAUACCCCUGAAUUUUUGAACAAUAUUAAAUGUUCUGGCGUUCCAAAUCAUUCAAUCACUUUAAAGGUUGGGGUUCCAGUGAUGUUACUAAGAAAUAUCGAUCAGUCAGCGGGAUUAUGUAAUGGAACUAGAUUGAUUGUUACUAAACUUGGAAAUCAAGUAAUUGAAGCAAAGGUUUUAUCUGGACAGAUGGUUGGCCGGAAGGUAUUUAUUCCAAGAAUGACUUUAACACCUUCAGAUUAUAGAAUUCCUUUUAAGUUUCAAAGAAGACAGUUUCCUAUAACUGUAUCAUUUGCUAUGACAAUCAAUAAGAGUCAAGGACAGUCUUUAUCUCAUGUGGGCUUAUUUCUGAAGAAGCCAGUGUUUACGCAUGGACAUUUAUAUGUUGCUCUUUCCAAAGUGACAAAUAGAAAGGGAUUAAAAAUACUUACUUACGAUGAAGAUGGGCAAAUAAGUAAUGAAGCCACAAAUGUAGUAUAUAAAGAAGUACUCCAAGACUUAUUUGACAUACAUUGUAUUUUUUAACUUUUAUAUAUAUACUACAAUUUUUGUUGUGUAUGUUACAAUAACUUUUAUAUUAACUGUUAUAUAUGUUUUAGGUUUCAUUAAUAAUGUAAUUUAACUUAGUAAGUUAACAUUAAGUAGGUACACAUUAAUAAAAAAAGACAAAGAAAGUCCAAAUUACUUUGAAAUAUGCAAUAGUCGAUAUGUACUAACCUUAAUUAGCUAAUUAUAAUCACUGCUAUUUUCCAUCGAUACACUAGCAGAAAAAAAAUCUUCCCAUUAUCAACUUCUCCGCCAUCUACAAUACACUUAUUAAAAAGCAAAUAUGAAAAUAUAUUAGGCAAUUUUUUUCAGUUAGAAUGCAUUAAGACAGAAAUUGUAUUAUGAAACAUUGCUCAAAAUAGUUGUAUAUAUAUAAAUUAUCAUAAACUACACAAAUCUAUAUAUUAAUACUACUAUUAAACAUUAAUAAUAAAUACAACUUCAUAGUUAUCAGAUAGUUUUAAAUACGAGUACAGAUAGAUUAUAAGACUUCACACAUUUACAAUCUUUACUAUUUUUUUAACUUUACUCAUUUAUCUAAAAAGUAAAAGUCACAAGUUCCUAUAUUUUAAGGUCAUUUUAAACAAAUUAUGAUUUGGAAACCAAGAAAAUGAUAACUUUUUCUUAUAAUAUAUAAUAAACUGUGUCUUGAAAAUUCACAUUAAAAAUUUUCAAGUACAAUUUACUCCGGCUUGCUUGGAAAACUGUAACUCAGAUUAUAUAUACAAAAUCUCUGAAUCACCAAACAAGAUACCAAAAUCUUUAUCAACAUAAGCUUAUUAUAGCUUUGCAAUAACAUGCAUUUACUACUUUAUAAUUUAAAUUAAAGUUAAACUAUUAGCCGUAUCUGACCAUCCCAAAUAGAUAUGAAGGAGACAUAACCUGAUAAAUCUCAUUAAAAUUAAUCCAAAACAAGAACUACUUCAUGCUAAUAUAUUCUUCAAUUGAAGUUUUCAUUAUGAAGGAUCAAUAUAAAAAAAUGUCAAAAAUUUAACUCACCAUUUCACAGUACAUUGAAUUUUUGUCGGAACGAUACUAGAUCUGAAAACAACUCCUAUCAAAUGUUUUAUGCAAUAUAUAUUAAUCUUAACCUGCUUGAAGAAAGUCAUUUUUAUGCUAUGUUAUCAUUUGCAUGUUCAAAUGUUGAAAUUCUAAAAUUAACUUUACCAUAUAUUUGCAGAAGACAUUCAUAGUAGAAAAGACAAUAGAAGAUUUACUAAAGAGAUGAAAGAAAUAGCACUCACAACAUUGACAAAUCACUCAGAAACUUAGCGAAGAUCCACACUCGGAAGAGGUACCUCACCUUUCAAAUCUGGAAAAUUUUGUUCAUAUUUUGGUCUCUUUCCAGAGAGAUCCAUUUUGUUUGUUUUUUACGUUUUUCCCUUUUUACUUUCCAAUUACUUUUGGAUUUUGGUGGGUUGUCCAAAAGUCUAUUUGAUUUUACUUUUUUCCAAUUCACUUAGAUUGACCAUAUUUUAAUAAAACUAAUAAAUACAUAUACA
This 10004-nucleotide long non-coding RNA is filed under the name Solanum tuberosum (potato). Its description in RNAcentral is "long non-coding RNA (STUB_LNC001661)". The record is from RNAcentral. Lineage: Eukaryota; Viridiplantae; Streptophyta; Magnoliopsida; Solanales; Solanaceae.